This 734-nucleotide ribosomal RNA is filed under the name Chromohalobacter israelensis. RNAcentral describes it as "bacterial SSU rRNA". It matches the Rfam family "Bacterial small subunit ribosomal RNA", at positions 759 to 1495 of the family's 1533-position model. The record is from RNAcentral. Lineage: Bacteria; Pseudomonadati; Pseudomonadota; Gammaproteobacteria; Oceanospirillales; Halomonadaceae.
GCGUGGGUAGCAAACAGGAUUAGAUACCCUGGUAGUCCACGCCGUAAACGAUGUCGACUAGCCGUUGGGUCCCUUGAGGACUUAGUGGCGCAGUUAACGCGAUAAGUCGACCGCCUGGGGAGUACGGCCGCAAGGUUAAAACUCAAAUGAAUUGACGGGGGCCCGCACAAGCGGUGGAGCAUGUGGUUUAAUUCGAUGCAACGCGAAGAACCUUACCUACCCUUGACAUCCUGCGAACCCGGAAGAGAUUCCGGGGUGCCUUCGGGAGCGCAGAGACAGGUGCUGCAUGGCUGUCGUCAGCUCGUGUUGUGAAAUGUUGGGUUAAGUCCCGUAACGAGCGCAACCCUUGUCCCUAUUUGCCAGCGAUUCGGUCGGGAACUCUAGGGAGACUGCCGGUGACAAACCGGAGGAAGGUGGGGACGACGUCAAGUCAUCAUGGCCCUUACGGGUAGGGCUACACACGUGCUACAAUGGCCGGUACAAAGGGUUGCGAAGCCGCGAGGUGAAGCCAAUCCCAGAAAGCCGGCCUCAGUCCGGAUUGGAGUCUGCAACUCGACUCCAUGAAGUCGGAAUCGCUAGUAAUCGUGCAUCAGAAUGGCACGGUGAAUACGUUCCCGGGCCUUGUACACACCGCCCGUCACACCAUGGGAGUGGACUGCACCAGAAGUGGUUAGCCUAACUUCGGAGGGCGAUCACCACGGUGUGGUUCAUGACUGGGGUGAAGUCGUAACAAG